Molecule: ribosomal RNA, 465 nt
Filed under: uncultured bacterium
Lineage: Bacteria
Description: partial 16S ribosomal RNA
Rfam family: Bacterial small subunit ribosomal RNA
Source: RNAcentral
GACGAACGCUGGCGGCGUGCUUAACACAUGCAAGUCGAACGGAAAGGCCCCUUUGGGGGUACUCGAGUGGCGAACGGGUGAGUAACACGUGAGUAACCUGCCCUUGACUUCGGGAUAACUUCAGGAAACUGGGGCUAAUACCGGAUAGGAAUCCUUGCUGCAUGGUGGGGGUUGGAAAGCUUCGGCGGUUUUGGAUGGACUCGCGGCUUAUCAGCUUGUUGGUGGGGUAGUGGCUUACCAAGGCUUUGACGGGUAGCCGGCCUGAGAGGGCGACCGGCCACAUUGGGACUGAGCGACGGCCCAGACUCCGAAGGGAGGCAGAAGGGGGGAAUAUUGCACAAUGGGAGGAAGCCUGAUGCAGCAACGCCGCGUGCGGGAUGACGGCCUUCGGGUUGUAAGCCGAUUUCAGCAGGGGCGAAGCUUGUGGUGACGGUACCUGAAGAAGAAGCAACGGCUAACUACGUG